CCAAAAACUUAGGUCAGCUGGGAGCAUAGCGACAUGCAGUUCCCACUGUGUGAUGAGCAUCUAUCUGCUCAGGGGCUGGACUGUGCGGUUGGGAGAUCUUCAUCCAUGCCCAUCUCAUGCCUUGACAUUCUCAGUUCAGAGGAUGGAAGGGCACUCGACUGCCCGCACACUCUGCCUCACAGAGGACUUGCAUAUGGACACACCUUCAGCACCUCGCAUGCCCCACAGGGGGCUCCUCUGCCCAUGCCAUCAUGCUUUGUUUCCGGUGGCCUCUGGAUGGAUAUAUUGAGAGAAGCACUCAUACAAGGAGAAGAUUCUGUCUUGCUUCUGCUAUCUUAGCUUCAUGGCCUCUGAGGUCAGGCCAG
Molecule: long non-coding RNA, 365 nt
Filed under: Homo sapiens (human)
Lineage: Eukaryota; Metazoa; Chordata; Mammalia; Primates; Hominidae
Description: non-protein coding lnc-GGTLC1-1:1
Source: RNAcentral